Xenopus laevis (African clawed frog) is the source of this 724-nucleotide long non-coding RNA. RefSeq lists it as uncharacterized. The record is from RefSeq and is a predicted model, not a curated record. Lineage: Eukaryota; Metazoa; Chordata; Amphibia; Anura; Pipidae. The transcript has 4 exons.
UUGUGGUGAGAUGUAAAUUGGCACUUUCAUAAAUCUGCCCCUUAGUGUAUUUACUGUACCCAGAGCUGUAUUUAGCUCCAAUCACACCCUACGUACCUAAACAUGCCGCUUACUCAGUGCAUGUGAAGUCACUUCUACCCCUCACCCCCCAGCUCCUUCAUUGAAUUUCAUAUGGAAAUCCAUGGCAGAGGCUGGGUGAAUUGGUUUUUUUUUUAAAUUUAUAGGCACCCGAGGGCCGCCCCCCAAAACUUAUUGCCCUAGACACAGGCCCUCAGUCCUGCACGGGUGCAUUUUUGGAACCCGUACCUGACCCAUACCCCGCAACCUGCAAUCCGCAACUCAAAACCGCGACCCGCUGACCAUCAAGAAUCAGGAAGUGCUGCCGUAAACCGGAAGUGGCAUCAUCGGAAAUUUGUAUCUGGAACAAACUAUCAUCUGACUCUCAUAUCAGGACACACUCCAUAUAAAAAGGGAUAAGAUUUUCUACUGGAGAGAUGUCUGCCAAAUAUUUCUGCUCCCUUGAUGGGAGUAUAGUGCUCUUUUUCUAUAUUAAUUGUCCCAUGGAUCAACGAGAUAAAACUCUUACAUCAGAUGUGCUGCCAGCAAAAGAAGUGACUGGUGUGGUUGCAGGCUUACACUGAUGGCAUACAGGGAGAUUUAUUAACCACGAGAAAUGGUCGCUGCCUGCGGAUGACAAAUCUCCAGGAAAUACCGGUAUCAGUUU